This 532-nucleotide ribosomal RNA is filed under the name uncultured bacterium. RNAcentral describes it as "partial 16S ribosomal RNA". It matches the Rfam family "Bacterial small subunit ribosomal RNA", at positions 35 to 539 of the family's 1533-position model. The record is from RNAcentral.
AGUGAACGCUGGCGGUAGGCCUAACACAUGCAAGUCGAACGGCAGCACAGUAAGAGCUUGCUCUUACGGGUGGCGAGUGGCGGACGGGUGAGGAAUACAUCGGAAUCUACUUUUUCGUGGGGGAUAACGUAGGGAAACUUACGCUAAUACCGCAUACGACCUACGGGUGAAAGCAGGGGAUCUUCGGACCUUGCGCGAUUGAAUGAGCCGAUGUCGGAUUAGCUAGUUGGCGGGGUAAAGGCCCACCAAGGCGACGAUCCGUAGCUGGUCUGAGAGGAUGACACUCCACCUGGGACUGCGCGACGGGCCCCGCUUCGUAGGGGGGGGUGAGGUGGAGAAUAUUGGACCUGUGGCGAAGGCCCGCUCCAGCCAGUCGGCGUGGGGGAGGAGGCCCUUCGUUUUGUAAAGCCUUUUUGUGGGAAAAGAAAAGCAGCAGUUUAUUCCCCCGGUGUUCAGACAGUCCCCAAAGAAAAACCACCGGCUAACUUCGUGCCAGCAGCGGAGGUAAUAAUGGAAGAGCACACGUCUGACC